AGCGAACUGGGCCGAAUACGCCCUGAACCGGCCUUUCAAGCCGGUAACGCGGGUUCGAAUCCCGUCGGGGCUACCA
This 76-nucleotide transfer RNA is filed under the name Acidimicrobiia bacterium. RNAcentral describes it as "tRNA-Ser". The stretch from base 10 to 73 matches the Rfam family "tRNA". Rfam says of the family: Transfer RNA (tRNA) molecules are approximately 80 nucleotides in length. Their secondary structure includes four short double-helical elements and three loops (D, anti-codon, and T loops). Lineage: Bacteria; Bacillati; Actinomycetota; Acidimicrobiia. The record is from RNAcentral.